CAGCAGCCGCGGGAAUACGUAGGGUGCAAGCGUUGUCCGGAGUUAUUGGGCGUAAAGAGCUUGUAGGCGGCUUGUCACGUCGGAAGUGAAAACUCGGGGCUCAACCCCGAGCCUGCUUCCGAUACGGGCUAGCUAGAGGAAGGUAGGGGAGAAUGGAAUUCCGGGUGGAGCGGUGGAAUGCGCAGAUAUCCGGAGGAACACCAGUGGCGAAGGCGGCUCUCUGGACCUUUCCUGACGCUGAGAAGCGAAAGCGCGGGGAGCAAACAGGCUUAGAUACCCCGGUAGUCCCUGUCUCUUAUAA
RNAcentral lists this ribosomal RNA (301 nucleotides) under uncultured bacterium. Its description in RNAcentral is "partial 16S ribosomal RNA". It matches the Rfam family "Bacterial small subunit ribosomal RNA", at positions 509 to 809 of the family's 1533-position model. The record is from RNAcentral.